RNAcentral lists this ribosomal RNA (1597 nucleotides) under Boophis madagascariensis (Madagascar bright-eyed frog). RNAcentral describes it as "16S rRNA". It matches the Rfam family "Bacterial large subunit ribosomal RNA". Lineage: Eukaryota; Metazoa; Chordata; Amphibia; Anura; Mantellidae. The record is from RNAcentral.
GCCCCCAUUCUAGCCCCCCCCCCCCGCAUGCUAACCCCAACCUCCCUAGUUUUUAUAAAACAUUUUAACUUUGAAGUAGAGGCGAUCGAAACACAUAUAGGCGCUCCAGAUUUAGUACCGCAAGGGAAAUGUGAAAUAUUACUGAAAUAAUUAUCAAGCCCCUAACAGUAGAGACUCCCACUCGUACCUUUUGCAUCAUGGUCUAGCUAGUCUCAUCAAGCAAAACGACUUUUAGUUUGACCCCCCGAAACCAAGUGAGCUACUCCUAAACAGCUUUUUUAGAGCCAACCCGUCUCUGUUGCAAAAGAGUGGGAUAAUUUAUGAGUAGAGGUGACAGACCUAUCGAACUUAGAGAUAGCUGGUUUUUUAAGAAAAGAAUUUUAGUUCAGCCUCAAGCUUCCCUUUAACCAAAAAAUCACCCAAGGCUUGAGAGUUAUUCAAAUAAGGCACAGCUUAUUUGAAACAGGACACAACCUAGAAUACAGGGUAAAAACAGACUAAAUUGACUAAUAAGUGGGCCUAAAAGCAGCCACCUUUCAAAAAGCGUCAAAGCUUGGUAGUGCCAAUUUUCCCAAUAACCUACAUACUUUUUAACCCGCACACACUAUUAAAUAAAUCCAUAAAGCUAUGGAAGCUAUAAUGCUAGAACAAGUAACAAGAAAAAGAAUUUCUCCAAAAUGUAAGCCUCAGCCGCAAUAGACAACCUGCCGGCGAUUAACGCCCAUGAGCCCAAUAUAACAACACUACAAGAAAACCCUAUAGACCCCCCCCCCCCCAGCGUCAACCUUACACCAGCACAUUUAUGGAAAGAUUAAAAGAGCGGGAAGGAACUCGGCAAAUUCUGAUCCCGCCUGUUUACCAAAAACAUCGCCUUUUGAUUAAAUAUAAAAGGUCCAGCCUGCCCGGUGACAAGAUUUAACGGCCGCGGUACCCUAACCGUGCGAAGGUAGCAUAAUCACUUGUUCUUUAAAUGAGGACUCGUAUCAACGGCAUCACGAGGAUCCUACUGUCUCCCCCCUCUAAUCGGUGAAACUGAUCUCUCCGUGAAGAAGCGGAGAUGUACAUAUAAGACGAGAAGACCCCAUGGAGCUUUAAACCCAACAACACCCGCCCCCCUCCAAAUCCUAUUAUUUACCCGGUGAUUGUUUGUUUGGUUUUAGGUUGGGGUGACCGCGGAGUAUAAGAUAUCCUCCAUGAAAAAAAGCUAACUGCCCUUAUUAGAGAAAGACACUUCCAAAAAAUAAUAAAUUAAUUUUAAAUGAUCCGACAUUCGAUCAACGAACCAAGUUACCCUGGGGAUAACAGCGCAAUCCGUCCCGAGAGCCCCUAUCGACAGGCGGGUUUACGACCUCGAUGUUGGAUCAGGGUAUCCCAGUGGUGCAGCAGCUACUAAAGGUUCGUUUGUUCAACGAUUAAAACCCUACGUGAUCUGAGUUCAGACCGGAGUAAUCCAGGUCGGUUUCUAUCUAUAAAAAGUUAUCUCUAGUACGAAAGGAUCGAAGUAACGCGGCCAAUGCAUAGGUAAACCGCCCCCCGCCAAUUAUGCCACAACUUAAUUUAUCAAGGACUGAAAGCCCCCCCCCCCCAAGAACAGGAC